CUCAACAUUUGAUGUUGUGAUAUAAUAUAAACACUAAUUUUGACUAAUAUUGUCAGAAGGAAGAGCACCUCGAACUAAAUUAAAGUAUGGGGCGUUGAGCGAAUGCGCGUUCACGCGAAGAAGGGUUGUAAUAUGCAGGGGGGUCAAAAUUCGGCACAACACCGGAACCACUGUGUCCGAGUGUCUUGACUUCGACCCUGAACACACCUGUAGAUCUGAACCUCCCGCAAGCAGAACACACAGUGCGUUUACAUGGGAUAGCUCGGAUUAAACUUUAUACCGAUUUUGCUACUCGAACGGACCGUGUCAAUUAUCCGAACGUACAUGGCCUUUAGAGAUCGGAUAUUGGCGGAGCAUGGCUGAAUCCGCUACCCUAGGUGCCUAUGUAGCCCUUUCAACAAGUGGUUAUAGAACUUCCGGUUGACCUCUACUGUAAAAAAUGUAUGUUAAGUUGCACACUUCACGUUAGAAUGCAGCUGCAGGCUUACAUUCCCCAUGGGUAACUUUCUGUUUACAUCUAUAUGUGAUGUAUGUAUGCUACAUAUGUUAUGUUAUGUAUUCUCUGCAAUAAAUUAUUUUUCUGUUUAAUAGCAUCAUGUCGAUGGCAGAAGGGACAUCCGUUGCUUAGUUGAGUAUCUUGGAGAGAGUGGAGAGGAGCUGAUCAAAGACUAUCAGGACGUCAGCCAGAAGCAGUGAAAGAGGACUGCAGUAAUCACAUGAUGAAGAUCAACGUCAUCCAUCCCAAUGUGGCACAGGAAAACCAAGAUCCCGUGUAUGUGUCAGUCCUCAUUGAGGGGACAGAAGUUCUGGAGGACUGCAUAAGCGUGACAAACGCUUGCCUCCUGCUCAUGGGUGUCAUCUAUGCUGUCAACUUAAGUUACCCACUAAAACUGAAAUAUAUGUUUGAAGCAUUUCAGAAGCUGUUUCUUGAGCUUGACGUCAUUACAAUGUCACCAAAGGUCCAGUCUCUCCACAAUAUACUUUUAGCGUGAGUGUUCCAGUGCUAUUUGUGCUUUUGUCCAGCACAAACAAUCUCUUUACAUUUUGUCAUUUUUCUGACAGAAAUUUCAAGUGUUGCUUAGUCUUUAAGUUAUUUCUGUCCUGAACAUCCUGAGAAUGUCCGCAAAGGUAGUCAUUGCAACUGUUAAUGGACAGAGUUUAUGCAUGCAUUCUUUGCUGUUCUGAAAAGUCAACUGUAACACUGUAUUCGUUUGUAUGCUGGAAUAUCGGUCCUAAAGUCAGUUGGUGCUUUGUCAUUCCGCAAUAAAUUGUUCAAAUUCUACACUGCUUUACUUUUGAGCUUUUGUGUGUGUGUGUGUGUGUGUGUGUGUGUGUGUGUGUGUGUGUGUGUGUGUGUGUGUGUGUGUGUGUGUGUGUGUGUGUGUGUGCGCGUGUGCGUGUGUGUGUGUGUACACUGUUUUCAAAUUUGCUAGCAAGAAGUUCUGUGUGGUUAUGAUGUUGUUCUAUACUAACUUGUACUUAUAUAAUAUAAUAAAGAACGAGACGGGCACGGUAGAUUAA
Gadus morhua (Atlantic cod) is the source of this 1521-nucleotide long non-coding RNA. RefSeq lists it as uncharacterized. Lineage: Eukaryota; Metazoa; Chordata; Actinopteri; Gadiformes; Gadidae. The record is from RefSeq and is a predicted model, not a curated record. The transcript has 2 exons.